CCUACGGGCGUCAGCAGUGGGGAAUAGUGGACAAUGGGGGAAACCCUUAUCCAGCGACGCCGCGUGAGGGAAGAAGGUUUUCGGAGUGUAAACCUCUGUCAGUGGGGACGAGAAUGACGGUACACACGGAGGAAGCCACGGCUAACUACGUGCCAGCAGCCGCGGUAAUACGUAGGUGGCAAGCGUUGUCCGGAAUUACUGGGUGAAAAGGGAGCGUAGGCGGGAUGGCAAGUCAGAAGUGAAAAUUCUGGGCUCAACUCAUAACCUGCUUUUGAAACUGAUAUUCUUGAGUGAAGUAGAGGCAAGCGGAAUUCCUCUUGUAGCGGUGAAAUGCGUUGAUCUUAGGCGGAACACCAGUGGCGAAGGCGGCUUGCUGGGCUUUUACUGCCGCUGCAGCACGAAAGCGUGGGUCUCGAACAGGAUUAGAUACCCCAGUAGUC
This 440-nucleotide ribosomal RNA is filed under the name uncultured bacterium. Its description in RNAcentral is "partial 16S ribosomal RNA". It matches the Rfam family "Bacterial small subunit ribosomal RNA", at positions 338 to 795 of the family's 1533-position model. The record is from RNAcentral.